RNAcentral lists this transfer RNA (85 nucleotides) under Zygnema circumcarinatum. Its description in RNAcentral is "tRNA-Glu". The record is from RNAcentral. Lineage: Eukaryota; Viridiplantae; Streptophyta; Zygnematophyceae; Zygnematales; Zygnemataceae.
CGCUCACUUCGUUCGCUUGCUCACGCCGGGCUACCUUCGGUAGCCAGUUCGUCGCUCGAUGAAACAAGCGAACGCAGUGAGCGCC